RNAcentral lists this ribosomal RNA (512 nucleotides) under uncultured bacterium. Its description in RNAcentral is "partial 16S ribosomal RNA". It matches the Rfam family "Bacterial small subunit ribosomal RNA", at positions 28 to 507 of the family's 1533-position model. The record is from RNAcentral.
GAUGAACGCUGGCGGCGUGCCUAAUACAUGCAAGUCGAACGAAACUUCUUUAUCACCGAGUGCUUGCACUCACCGAUAAAGAGUUGAGUGGCGAACGGGUGAGUAACACGUGGGCAACCUGCCCAAAAGAGGGGGAUAACACUUGGAAACAGGUGCUAAUACCGCAUAACCAUAGUUACCGCAUGGUAACUAUGUAAAAGGUGGCUAUACUACCGCUUUUGGAUGGGCCCGCGGCGCAUUAGCUAGUUGGUAGGGUAAAGGCUUACCAAGGCAAUGAUGCGUAGCCGAAUUGAGAGGUUGAUCGGCCACAGUGGGACUGAGACACGGCCCAAACUCCUACGGGAGGCAGCAGUAGGGAAUCUUCCACAAAGGGCGAAAGCCUGAUGGAGCAACGCCGCGUGGGUGAAGAAGGUCUUCGGAUCGUAAAACCCUGUUGUUAGAGAAGAAAGUGCGUGAGAGUAACUGUUCACGUUUCGACGGUAUCUAACCAGAAAGCCACGGCUAACUACGUG